Molecule: ribosomal RNA, 2905 nt
Filed under: Escherichia coli
Lineage: Bacteria; Pseudomonadati; Pseudomonadota; Gammaproteobacteria; Enterobacterales; Enterobacteriaceae
Description: 23S ribosomal RNA
Rfam family: Bacterial large subunit ribosomal RNA
Source: RNAcentral
GGUUAAGCGACUAAGCGUACACGGUGGAUGCCCUGGCAGUCAGAGGCGAUGAAGGACGUGCUAAUCUGCGAUAAGCGUCGGUAAGGUGAUAUGAACCGUUAUAACCGGCGAUUUCCGAAUGGGGAAACCCAGUGUGUUUCGACACACUAUCAUUAACUGAAUCCAUAGGUUAAUGAGGCGAACCGGGGGAACUGAAACAUCUAAGUACCCCGAGGAAAAGAAAUCAACCGAGAUUCCCCCAGUAGCGGCGAGCGAACGGGGAGCAGCCCAGAGCCUGAAUCAGUGUGUGUGUUAGUGGAAGCGUCUGGAAAGGCGCGCGAUACAGGGUGACAGCCCCGUACACAAAAAUGCACAUGCUGUGAGCUCGAUGAGUAGGGCGGGACACGUGGUAUCCUGUCUGAAUAUGGGGGGACCAUCCUCCAAGCGCUAAAUACUCCUGACUGACCGAUAGUGAACCAGUACCGUGAGGGAAAGGCGAAAAGAACCCCGGCGAGGGGAGUGAAAAAGAACCUGAAACCGUGUACGUACAAGCAGUGGGAGCACGCUUAGGCGUGUGACUGCGUACCUUUUGUAUAAUGGGUCAGCGACUUAUAUUCUGUAGCAAGGUUAACCGAAUAGGGGAGCCGAAGGGAAACCGAGUCUUAACUGGGCGUUAAGUUGCAGGGUAUAGACCCGAAACCCGGUGAUCUAGCCAUGGGCAGGUUGAAGGUUGGGUAACACUAACUGGAGGACCGAACCGACUAAUGUUGAAAAAUUAGCGGAUGACUUGUGGCUGGGGGUGAAAGGCCAAUCAAACCGGGAGAUAGCUGGUUCUCCCCGAAAGCUAUUUAGGUAGCGCCUCGUGAAUUCAUCUCCGGGGGUAGAGCACUGUUUCGGCAAGGGGGUCAUCCCGACUUACCAACCCGAUGCAAACUGCGAAUACCGGAGAAUGUUAUCACGGGAGACACACGGCGGGUGCUAACGUCCGUCGUGAAGAGGGAAACAACCCAGACCGCCAGCUAAGGUCCCAAAGUCAUGGUUAAGUGGGAAACGAUGUGGGAAGGCCCAGACAGCCAGGAUGUUGGCUUAGAAGCAGCCAUCAUUUAAAGAAAGCGUAAUAGCUCACUGGUCGAGUCGGCCUGCGCGGAAGAUGUAACGGGGCUAAACCAUGCACCGAAGCUGCGGCAGCGACACUAUGUGUUGUUGGGUAGGGGAGCGUUCUGUAAGCCUGUGAAGGUGUGCUGUGAGGCAUGCUGGAGGUAUCAGAAGUGCGAAUGCUGACAUAAGUAACGAUAAAGCGGGUGAAAAGCCCGCUCGCCGGAAGACCAAGGGUUCCUGUCCAACGUUAAUCGGGGCAGGGUGAGUCGACCCCUAAGGCGAGGCCGAAAGGCGUAGUCGAUGGGAAACAGGUUAAUAUUCCUGUACUUGGUGUUACUGCGAAGGGGGACGGAGAAGGCUAUGUUGGUACGGGCGACGGUUGUCCCGGUUUAAGCGUGUAGGCUGGUUUUCCAGGCAAAUCCGGAAAAUCAAGGCUGAGGCGUGAUGACGAGGCACUACGGUGCUGAAGCAACAAAUGCCCUGCUUCCAGGAAAAGCCUCUAAGCAUCAGGUAACAUCAAAUCGUACCCCAAACCGACACAGGUGGUCAGGUAGAGAAUACCAAGGCGCUUGAGAGAACUCGGGUGAAGGAACUAGGCAAAAUGGUGCCGUAACUUCGGGAGAAGGCACGCUGAUAUGUAGGUGAGGUCCCUCGCGGAUGGAGCUGAAAUCAGUCGAAGAUACCAGCUGGCUGCAACUGUUUAUUAAAAACACAGCACUGUGCAAACACGAAAGUGGACGUAUACGGUGUGACGCCUGCCCGGUGCCGGAAGGUUAAUUGAUGGGGUUAGCGCAAGCGAAGCUCUUGAUCGAAGCCCCGGUAAACGGCGGUACCGUAACUAUAACGGUCCUAAGGUAGCGAAAUUCCUUGUCGGGUAAGUUCCGACCUGCACGAAUGGCGUAAUGAUGGCCAGGCUGUCUCCACCCGAGACUCAGUGAAAUUGAACUCGCUGUGAAGAUGCAGUGUACCCGCGGCAAGACGGAAAGACCCCGUGAACCUUUACUAUAGCUUGACACUGAACAUUGAGCCUUGAUGUGUAGGAUAGGUGGGAGGCUUUGAAGUGUGGACGCCAGUCUGCAUGGAGCCGACCUUGAAAUACCACCCUUUAAUGUUUGAUGUUCUAACGUGGACCCGUGAUCCGGGUUGCGGACAGUGUCUGGUGGGUAGUUUGACUGGGGCGGUCUCCUCCUAAAGAGUAACGGAGGAGCACGAAGGUUGGCUAAUCCUGGUCGGACAUCAGGAGGUUAGUGCAAUGGCAUAAGCCAGCUUGACUGCGAGCGUGACGGCGCGAGCAGGUGCGAAAGCAGGUCAUAGUGAUCCGGUGGUUCUGAAUGGAAGGGCCAUCGCUCAACGGAUAAAAGGUACUCCGGGGAUAACAGGCUGAUACCGCCCAAGAGUUCAUAUCGACGGCGGUGUUUGGCACCUCGAUGUCGGCUCAUCACAUCCUGGGGCUGAAGUAGGUCCCAAGGGUAUGGCUGUUCGCCAUUUAAAGUGGUACGCGAGCUGGGUUUAGAACGUCGUGAGACAGUUCGGUCCCUAUCUGCCGUGGGCGCUGGAGAACUGAGGGGGCUGCUCCUAGUACGAGAGGACCGGAGUGGACGCAUCACUGGUGUUCGGGUUGUCAUGCCAAUGGCACUGCCCGGUAGCUAAAUGCGGAAGAGAUAAGUGCUGAAAGCAUCUAAGCACGAAACUUGCCCCGAGAUGAGUUCUCCCUGACUCCUUGAGAGUCCUGAAGGAACGUUGAAGACGACGACGUUGAUAGGCCGGGUGUGUAAGCGCAGCGAUGCGUUGAGCUAACCGGUACUAAUGAACCGUGAGGCUUAACCUU